AUUGAACGCUGGCGGCAGGCUUAACACAUGCAAGUCGAGCGAGCGGCGGACGGGUGAGUAAUGUCUGGGAAACUGCCUGCUGGAGGGGGAUAACUCCUGGAAACGGUAGAUAAUACCGCAUACCAUCAGAUGUGCCCAGAUGGGAUUAGCUAGUAGGGGGGGUAAUGGCUCACCUAGGCGACGAUCCCUCGCUGGUCUGAGAGGAUGACCAGCCGCACUGGAACUGAGACACGGGCCAGACUCCUACGUGAGGCAGCAGUGGGGAAUAGUGCACAAUGGGAGCAAUCCUGAUGCAGCCAUGCCGCGUGUUUGAAGAAGGCCUUCGGGUUGUAAAGCACUUUCAGCGAGGAGGCGUUACUCGCAGAAGAAGCACCGGCUAACUCCGUGCCAGCAGCGGCGGUAAUAC
RNAcentral lists this ribosomal RNA (406 nucleotides) under uncultured bacterium. RNAcentral's name for it is "partial 16S ribosomal RNA". It matches the Rfam family "Bacterial small subunit ribosomal RNA", at positions 30 to 526 of the family's 1533-position model. The record is from RNAcentral.